RNAcentral lists this unclassified non-coding RNA (1604 nucleotides) under Hevea brasiliensis (rubber tree). The record is from RNAcentral. Lineage: Eukaryota; Viridiplantae; Streptophyta; Magnoliopsida; Malpighiales; Euphorbiaceae.
CCUCAUAUCUCCCAGGUUCAAAAAAAUAAGGUGAAAUUAAUGUUAUAGCAUUAGUAGCUCACUAAUAUACAACUAGUUGCAUAAUUGCCUUUAGCUUUCAAUAUUACUGUUAGAAUGCAGGAUAUAAAAAAUAGAAUCAUACUUCAUUUAAGUAGUUUGUUGUAUGAGGAUAUUGAAAUAAUUAAUUAACUAGGAGCAGAUCAUGUAGAUUAUGAUAAAAAGGGACAGGACACAUGCUUAUAGCUAUUUAAGUAUGAAGAGAGCAGAGUAUAUUGCUAAGUUAAAGCUCUUUAUGCUAUUAACUUUCGUUUUUUAGGUAAGAAUAGAACAGAAGAUAAGUGUGCUAAUCUUGAAUCAGAAAACACACGCCAAAUUCAUGGAUGUUGUUUCCUGCAAUUUUGAAGGACAACAAAUAUAUUUUUUUCUCGAUAUUUUUUAUUCAUUAGAGGCACCAUAAAAUUGAAUAAUCCUAGAACAUGUAGAUAGGGAGCUUACUUCCUGCAUUUUUAAGGUGCAGGAAAACCAACUGAAUUAUAAAAGCCAUUUUCCUUUCUAACUGUAAAAAUGUAUAAUUACAUCUUAAUUCUAAUUGGAAAUCACAAUCUGAUUCAAUGUUUUACUUUUUUCAAAAAAAAAAAUCAUCCAAUUUAUAUUGCUAUCUAUUUUUCUUUAAUUGAUUUUGAGGGAUCGUGGGAAGGAAAAGAAAAGAUUAAGAGAUAAAUACUUGCUUAAUUAAUACUGAUACUAUCAACAUAAGACAACCCAAUGAACAGCUGUGAAGCCCAAAACAACAUAUAGAAAGAGCCAAUCAGAUGCAAAAGACAAGCCACAGAAAAAAAAAGGCUAAUUAUUAGAUAGUGCUCGUUCUUUCACAGAAAAGAGGACCCUUCCUAUAUUAUGGAGAGUGAGUCUCACAUAAUUAUGAGAAAUAGUAUAUAUGCACUGGGUGCACUUAAUAAUUUCUCGAGAGAAAAAUACUUGCACAUUCGCCAAGAUCAAGAAAACGCAUUGGUUCCUCUGGUAAGAGUAAGAAAGAAGUUGAAGGAACAGAUACUGAGCAAGGUUAAAGAGGGAGAGUGUGUCUUGUCCUAUGUUGAUAUCUUAAUUGACUUGCAAUCUCCAAGGAGAAGAGAAAGCAGGAAGAAGGGGAAAUCGUUAGUCUAUGCUCAGAAUUUCUCACCGGGGGCGCAGAGACUACCUCUACAGCUCUGCAUUGGAUCAUGGCGAAUUUGGUGAAGUACCCAUAAAUCCAAGGCAAACUAUUCAUGGAUAUUAAAGGGGUUGUAGGAGAAGGAGAGGAAUUGAUCAAGGAAGAAGCCUUACCAAAGACGAUGCCAUUUGGAUCAGGAGGAAGGAUAUGAAAGGAGACAAAGUUGACUCAUCAGAGCUGCUAGAGUUUUCAGUGGUGAAGAAGUAUCUAUUGCAGGCACACUAAUCUCCAAGGUCUAAACUAAUGUCAAUUACAAGCCCCCAUUUCGUGAAGGGACUUUUCUUGCAAAUUACUUGAACAUUGACCAUUCUUCUACUCUGUUAUUUUAUUUUAACGUCAAAAUCAGAUGACAUAGACAAAAUGUUGUCAACUUGCGAACGAAGAUAAAUAUCAA